RNAcentral lists this ribosomal RNA (484 nucleotides) under uncultured bacterium. RNAcentral's name for it is "partial 16S ribosomal RNA". It matches the Rfam family "Bacterial small subunit ribosomal RNA", at positions 30 to 507 of the family's 1533-position model. The record is from RNAcentral.
AUUGAACGCUGGCGGCAGGCCUAACACAUGCAAGUCGAGCGGAUGAAGGGAGCUUGCUCCUGGAUUCAGCGGCGGACGGGUGAGUAAUGCCUAGGAAUCUGCCUGGUGGGGGGGGAUAACGUCCGGAAACGGGCGCUAAUACCGCAUACGUCCUGAGGGAGAAAGUGGGGGAUCUUCGGACCUCACGCUAUCAGAUGAGCCUAGGUCGGAUUAGCUAGUUGGUGGGGUAAAGGCCUACCAAGGCGACGAUCCGUAACUGGUCUGAGAGGAUGAUCAGUCACACUGGAACUGAGACACGGUCCAGACUCCUACGGGAGGCAGCAGUGGGGAAUAUUGGACAAUGGGCGAAAGCCUGAUCCAGCCAUGCCGCGUGUGUGAAGAAGGUCUUCGGAUUGUAAAGCACUUUAAGUUGGGAGGAAGGGCAGUAAGUUAAUACCUUGCUGUUUUGACGUUACCAACAGAAUAAGCACCGGCUAACUUCGUG